RNAcentral lists this long non-coding RNA (1379 nucleotides) under Equus asinus (donkey). RNAcentral's name for it is "lncRNA (ENSEASG00005024817.1)". Lineage: Eukaryota; Metazoa; Chordata; Mammalia; Perissodactyla; Equidae. The record is from RNAcentral.
GUCUCUGCCGGAGGCUCUCGUCUUGCGUAUCACUGAAUGGCUUACCACCAGCGCUACUUUUCCUAGAAUGGAUUUGCUUAUGGGCGUGCCAAUGGAUCCGAAAGGGAAGUGGUCUGAGAACUUCGGUGCAAAAAAUGUUACAUUAACAUUUGUUUUCCCAACUCAAACCUCCACUACUUCCCACAGUUUGUCUAGAAAUUCAGCCCACUUUAGAGCUCCUUUUUCUCGUUUAGGCUAUACCAGCCCCUCAGGGGCUUAUGGAGUCCAAGAAAAUUGAAGGAGGGCCUCACAUCUGGACUGCUGUUUUUUCCUUAACAUGUAUGUGACAUGACUUUGUGCCAGACGCUUCUAAGAACUUCACGUGCAUUAACCAAUUUAAAUCUUCUCCACCACUUGAUAAAAUAGAUGCUGUUAUCCCAACUUUACCCUUGGGGAAACUCGAGUCCCAGGGAGGUCAAGUAAUUGCCCUUGGCGGGAAGCUGUUGAAUAGUAGAGCUGUGGUUUGAACGUGAGCGCUUUGGCUCCAAACAGAAGUCCGUGCCGCCACAUAUACUGCCUCUCAUUAAAGUGUUGUUGUUCCCUUGCUUUUGUGUUUGUAACAUUAGCCGUUAAGUGUUAAUCCUUUCCUUUAUUCAGACCCUGGGGGGCGGGGAGUGGGGAGGCCCAGUGCCCCUCACUGCAACCUUCGGUGGUCCCAAGGCCCAGUAUGCAGCCCUCUGCCAUCGCCCACAGGUUCAGCCACCUCUGAGGCAUUGCGUUCCAUCAAGGUCCAGGAGUCCACCAGCCACAGCUACCCACCACACCACCCCUCAACCCCAGGCUUGGAAGAGCUGACCCUUCCUCACCAGUGUCAGGCUACCUCUUCUUCUUGAAGCAUCAGCCACCAUCCUUUCCAUCUUUCAAGGAACUCCAGCUUAAUUUCUUGAUGGCCUUGUCCUUCUAAAACAAAGGCUGUUCCCUCUUCCUAGAAUCUUCUUUUCCCACUCCCUCCAUAGUAACUCUGCUCAUCCUUCCAGUCUCAGCUCAGUUGUCGCUUUUUCAAGGAAGACUUCUCUGACCGCCGUUCCUUGUCUCUGACACAGGCUCUUACAAUCCCAUAGCAGUUAUCCCAGCGAAGAUUUCAAAUGUAUUUCUGUUUAUUUGAUUAAAUUUUCUCUCCCUCACCAGGCUGUAAGCUCCCAGAAGCUGACCCUUUUGUCUCUGUUUGCUCACCAUGACAUUGCUAGUCCCUUGCAGUGAUUGACAGAAGAUGCUGAAUUUAUUAAUUCAUUUAAUUCGGAUUAAAUGAAUGAAUGAAUAACCUCACAGGAAAAGCAGCCCAGAACUCAGAGGAUAAAUGGCUUGGCUAUCUUUACCAAAAUGAGGAAGCAGCAUAUUAC